GGGGAGAUACCAAAGCGGCCAACUGGGGCAGACUGUAAAUCUGUUGUCGAAUGACUUCGUAGGUUCGAAUCCUGCUCUCCCCACAA
Molecule: transfer RNA, 86 nt
Filed under: Bacteroidia bacterium
Lineage: Bacteria; Pseudomonadati; Bacteroidota; Bacteroidia
Description: tRNA-Tyr
Rfam family: tRNA
About the family: Transfer RNA (tRNA) molecules are approximately 80 nucleotides in length. Their secondary structure includes four short double-helical elements and three loops (D, anti-codon, and T loops).
Source: RNAcentral